GCAACCAUGAUUCAGAAGGUGAAUCGAGCAAGAACUGCAAAGGUCUGAGAACAAUUAACUUAUCGCAUUUUUGUUAUGAGUUACAGUUAGAAUUAACAGUACAGAUUAACUCUCUACAAAUUGAAUGAAACUUAGAGCACAACAGUGUUUUAACUACGGAUGAAGAAACCCACAAAUACUUGCAGUCUACAAGUCAAAACAUCAACUCAUCAAAAGAGACAUCUAGAGAUGAUAAAUCAGAAAUCAUAUAAAAGGCAAUUCAAUGGAUUUUUUUUAGCAAACAAGAACAUAUACAUUAUAUAGUACAACAUGAAUACAAGAUUUCUGAGGGUAGCUCAAUGGGGUGAUCUUGCAUUUGGCUCGGACUGUAUCCUGAAGGGGGUAAGAGAUCAAAAUUGAAUACCGCAGAUAUUGCUAUUGUUGGCCCAAUCUUUCCUGAAGCAUCUGCAUCAAUUUUGGAUUCUGCUCCAAAAGCCUACAGAGUUCUUCCUUGUUGCUCAAUAAAGACGUAAUAGCUUUAGGAUCCUGGAAAUACUCUUGUAAUGACAUUCCUAACUCUUGUUGAUGCCUAUUUGCAGCAUCUCCUUGCUGAUGUGGAACUUGUGGUUGACCAUGUUCAACUUGCUGCUGCUGCUGAGAUUGAUAAUGGGUAUGCAUAGGAGAAAUCUGUGGCUGCUGCAGUAUUUGUAAUUGAUGCAUUUGAACAGAGUUUUGCAAAGAAACCCCUUGCUCAAGCUGCUGAGAAGAUUGUACAGGUGGCCAGAGAUGCUGAGGUGGCUGUGGAGGACGUUGAAGUGGAGGCUGGAGAGGCUGUAACUGAUGAAUUGAUUGAAUGGAAGAUUGAGGAAUUGGUAUAUUUUGCAUGAUAGUUGGGUUCUCGCCUUGCUGCUGAAUUGGGGUGCUUCCAUAAGGAGUAGCAGGAAUUGUACCUGGCCUACUGAAAACUAAAGGUGGCAUUAGAGGGGGAGGCACAUAAGAGGUUAGUCCACCACCUGUUACAGAAAUAUUUCCGAAUCGAGCAUCAAUUAUAGGUGAAAUAGAGGUCUGUGGAAGUUCAGUAGUUCCAACAGGGUAUACUGAAGAUUGGGAAGUAGAAGCCUUUAAAGAUGGUAAAUUAUAUGGGCUAGAUGAGAAAGGUGGUGGUGUGGGAGGAAGUGGUGGAUGAGGCCCAGCAGAACCACUGGGAGAAGAGAUAGAAGCCCGUAAAUACUUGGAAUCUGACACGGGAAGGGAGGAUGCUAAUGAUGCAGCGCUGUUACCAAAUGCAGACAGAUAAUCUGACUGAACUUGGAAUGCCGUGGCAAGGGGUUGCUGACCUUCUGUCAAAGAGUUGACAAAGGGGGAUGACUGACUGGGGACUGGAUCAGGGUUCUGAGAUAUAAAAGGUGAGAUUGUUGAUGGAGGUGGCAUUGGAGGCAAAGGUGGUUGAUUCAGAGGAACUUUCUGCUCAUAAAGUCCCCGAGAUCCUGAAGCAUUCUGUGGACUAUUCUUCAUAUAGAAAUUUUGUGAAGUAAUCCUAGAAUCUGUUGGUGCCUUAUUAUAAACAGAAGCAGGAAAACCUGAAGUACUAGGAGCUGCAACAGAAUCAAACCCAGAAGAGGUCUUAACUGGAACAACAUUCUUCAUGUCAUCAGGAUGCUCAAAAAACUUCUUAUCUGAAGAAACACUGGGCUCUCGGUUCAAUGGCAUUUCAGGCCGUGAAACAGACAUUCUCGAAGAGAACUCACUUUGGGUGUUUUCAUCAAUGUUAGAAGCUAAUGGUGUACCCAAACUAGGAAAUUGACCACUUUCAUUAGCAUCACUCUCCGUCUCUUCAACAAUUGAAUGGGGUGAACUCUGCUCAACUAUAACAGGGGCAGGCUGCUGUAAAUUAUCGUCAGGUUGAGGAAAAGGCAAUUUAUCAUCAGAUUCAGACUCCUCACCAUCAAAAACUAUAUCUAUUCCCUGAAGAUCAUCAUCGAGAUCUGUUUUCAACUGCUUAGGCUUGUUUACUUUUUCUCUCUCUGUAUCAAUAAGCGGAGCUGCAUUCUUCAAUUGUUCUGAAGGCUCCCCAACUACGGCUGCCAUAGGGUUCUGGCGUUCCCUUUGUCUGGCCAUAAAUUCAUCCACAUGAAUUGAGGGAGGUCUUCCACCAGUAGAUCCUACUCGCUGGACUGCUAUGACAUUAGAAUUGGUACCAGCAUCAACAUUUCUUUCCCUUGCAACAUAGUCAUCCACAUGCAUUGAUGGUGGCCUGCUAGUAUUUGGCUUUCGUUGCCUAAAAGUGUCCCUGCGAGUUGGGGCGGAAGAAGCAGUAGAUGGACCCAACCCCCGUGAAAAUGCAUUUUGACCUGUGACCUCCGCCACUGAAUUUUCUCCUUUAACACGCUUACCAGCACUAUCUAGGGAUGACAAUUUCCUUUUGCUAGGAAUAGACUGUGACAAUCUAUCAGGUAACAUUUCUGGACAUUCCCACAGAAACUUCUCCCCAAGGUCCCCAAGGUAAAGAAAAUCAUCAAACUUUCCAGCAUUGGUAUCUGAUAUCUGAUUUAUUUUUGGAGAAACCAUGACAUCAUUUUGUGACAACGAAACAACUUUACUACACAUGAGAUGAUCCAGUGCAAUUGAACCAGUAGGCUUUUCCAAAAAUAACAUCAAUGACUUGGCAGACUCUGAAGCCUGACGCAAAGUGGCACCCAUCUCCAAGGUAGCUAAACAGUCAUCAUCUGAUGUCUUUGAACUCAACAGUGUAGUCAUCUCCCGUAUUAAAGUCAUAUUUUCUAAAGAACCAUCUGUCCCAUCCAUAUCAUCUUGAAGCCCAAAUAGACGUUUUAUUGCAUCCACAGAAUUUGAAUUCAGACUAAAAAAAAAGGGAGGGGAAGAGGAAAAAAACAAGUGAGCUUUAAAAACAACGAUUUGGAAAAUCAUAAUGGGAGUAGAAGUUUAUUUCAUAAAGCAAGAUAUUCAAGAGUCAGAGACAAUGCCAGUACAGCAAAUGUAUUUCUAUUUUUAGUUCAGAGCCAGUAUCCAAAACAAUAUAAAUGAAGAAAACUGUAGAUACUACAGAAUCUCAUCCUGCCUUUAAAAUGAACAUCUUAUUUAUUACAUAUUUGAAAAUAGUAGUAUCCAAAAAAUAUAAUGUUCCAGGCUGCUUUGUUGCAAAUCCUUAGCUGACCCAGAUUACCCUGAAGAGAUAGCGUGCCCAUCCUUUACAAAGGUAAAAAUAUGUAGAAACUUCAACCUCAAACCAUUUCAAUCCAAGCACCGCGAGUCAAAAUUUUUGGGAGAGAUAUAAAAACAAUACCCUGUGUUUUAGUGCUAUUUAAGCAUUGCUGUUACUCCGUAAUUCGCAUACAAACACCACCACAAAAACAACUAAGUUUUUAAUCCCAAACUAGUUAGAGUCGGCUAUAUAUAUCCUUUUUUGCCAUUCAGCUCUAUAUGUAUACAAACAUCAAACUACAAUAAUCAAUAAAAUUAUAAGAAUUUCCACCUAUAACUGUUAUUUCUCUACUUCUAUAAAACCUUGAAACCAAGUGCCUCACCCAUAUCACAUUAACAACAGUGUUCAACUUGCAAUAUCCGGUUACCAAGACAGAAAGGUUUCAAUAAACUUAGUACAUUCUAAGACAGGCAAAAUCUACUAAGCAACUCUCCCUCAUGUAGCUUUUAUAUGAAAAUUAAGAUGGAAGUGACUGCAUCAAAUUAAGUUUUGCAUUCGAUGGUAUCAAGAUAUCUUUUGUCAGUAAUCCAACUGCAAGUUAAAAAUAGAACUACCACAAUAAACACCAACUGCUACAACGUUAAAGAGUUUAAAUGCUAAAAGAUACCAUAGAAUUUAGAUGAAUCAUCUUCAAUAUAUUUCUGGAAUUAUAACACAUUAUCUGCAAAUUGUAGUUAAUACAUGAAAAAAUAGACAAGCUAAUAAUCCACAAGCCAAAAUAAUAUCGUAUGCAAAACUGGCAUAAAGUGCAAAGCAUUUUGGACAGAAAAAAAAAGCUCUCGUAAAUUCCAAAAACUCAAAAUGCCUGCUCACUAAUGUUUUCAAAUUUUCUUUUCCUUCGCAAGAAUACCACUCACUAAUCCUGCGUGGCAUUUUUAGGUUGACAAAUUGAAUUAUUUAGCUCAAGGUAGUUGACUCACCUUUUACCAUCCAUGCAAAAGCACAAUGAACCUAUAAAUAAUUCAUUAACAGCCUCAAUUGCACAAGCUGACAGAGCAUCCUUUGAAUCAAUUGAUUUCAUCAAUUUUUUCCAGCAAUAAAGCAAAGGAGGAUACUUUUUCCUUUCAAAAUCAUCAAGAUUAUAGUUCCCAUUCCUUUCAUGCACACUUUCUGAUCUAAGUUCCUCACUGCUGGUCUUGACAUCACGUAAUGAAGUCAGCAAAGCACUUCGACCUUCAUUGCAAGAACCUAGUUCUUUAAAACAGGUAAGACAAGACAGUAAUUCUUUUCCAACUGGUAGGACCUGGCAGAACUUAAACAUAUAUGGCACAAUCAACAAAAAAUCUGUGUUGGUCAAAUUUGCAGAACUGAGCGAAUCACAUCUCCCAGAGUAUAGUAAAGAUGUUUGACCCAAAAGAAGUGGUAAACACUUAAAUACAGGAAGACACCAACUAAUCAAAGUAAACCCAUGUUUAGCUGAACUUUUACUGUCCGGGAUCUGUUUCUCAUCAUAAUCAAUAGCAUCAAAACACUUCUCCAGCACUUUUAUUAGAACCUGAGGAAAGCCCUCCUCCAAUAAUAGCACCUUGGCACUAGGAUGCUCCAAUAUACUAGCAAUGAAGUCUAGAUAUCUGUAAACCUUAUAAGCAUCUACGUCUGAUGGAAAAGAUGAGUCAGAAACAUGAUUAUGGAUGGAGGAUAAUAUGGGCCGCAGAAGUAUGGAAGCAUUUUCAACUUUUUGGCUAGCAAUGCGGAUUACAAAAAGUCGAAGCAUGUCUUGGAUGACUACCAAUGCCGAUAUAGCAUAAUGCUGAAUAAUAUGCGCAAUUUUAUCAAGAUGUGGUGUCAAUUGGCUAAGAAGUUUCUCAAGGUGAAAAGGCUCCAAAUACCAGUUGACCUGCCUUUCCUUCUGUGGCCCCAAUAAUGUACCAACAGCCAAUGUUCUCAGUGCACUCAGCAAAGGCAUUCCAUUCUUCCAAAGCCAGAUACCUUCUUCAGGGAAUAAAUCAUUCAGAAGACACAGCAAACUGCAGGUUUCCUUUGGACCCAAGGCUAGCAUUGAAGUAACUUGCACAUUGGAAAGAAGGGAAUGGAAAAGACCAGGAGUCCAGCCAUAUACAGGCCAACAAGUAAGUGCUGACACAACAAGGUGGCAGACAGCUCCAAAACCAAGUGCAGAAUCAGGAUACGAUGAAGACAAGUCUGCUGCACACGCAGCAAGCUUUGGGCUUACUUCUCGAUGCAGUCGCAAAAGGGCAUUCAUUAGUUUUGUAUUUCUGUGCUGCUCUUUAGCUUCCAGCAAUUUCUGCAAAAGGGUGAUCAGCAAAACCAGAGAAGGCACCAAAAGGUCAACCAAGCUCUGCUCACGAUUACGUUCCAGUAGUAAAUCAGAAGUAGAAUUGCAUUCUGUACCCUCAUCAACAAGGUAAUCAUAAUUAUUCGAGGAUCUCUCAAGCAUGAAGCUGCAGUCGACCAGAAUUGCAUAGAUUACUGUUAUAGCACCUUCAUCAUAUAAAGCAGCAGCAACAGUUGAGUUUUCUGAAAUAAAGGCCAAUAUUCGAAUAGCUGUUGUCAACUGUGCUAUAGAUGAAUCACGAAGUGUAACACCAUCAAAUGUCUUCUCUGAGACAAGUUUUCCUAGAUUGUCCAUAACAUUUAUAUCAGAAUUACCAGAAGCAUCUCCAAUGACAUUCUCCACAUCUGCCAAAUCUGACACUAGAAUACUGGUAGAGGUCAAAUGAGCAUCUCCCCCAGAAGCUAACACAGCAGAAUACCGUAGAAGACCAAUAGCACCAUUUUUAUGAUAAACUGCACCAGCAUCUAUCCACUCUAACAGCCUGGUUGGAGCAUCUUUCCUAUUCGACCCAGGGGAAGAAGAAUGUAAUGCCUUGUGAAGUUCCACAGCAUGUCCAAUCCAAGAACCAAGGGACGAUGCAGUUGAAUCAUUAACAAUGAUUUCAAAAAUCUCAGCAGCAGAAUGAAAAAUUGCAAGAUUUAUUGGAGAGGCUCCACUAUUCUUGGAAACUGGUUCUGAUUCCUUAACAAAAUGUAAAGCUUCAAUCAAGAUUGAUACAGCCUCUGGGAAGUAUCCAAGAACCAACAAAGCCUGGCGUCCACAAUCAGACCUAGAGAGACCACACAGCUCCCACAACACCCAUAAAAAUUCUUCAGAGUGUGGAGUCGAUGCAACCAAACGAUCAAUUGCAUUAACCACCCUCAAAUGCAUCUCAACAAUAAUCCCAACUUCACGUGGACUGCAAACAAAACCCUUUGACAAUAAAAUAGAUGCAUAUCGAAGAGGAACACAUUCUUCCUUACUUAUGUUCCCUGAACCCCUUAGAGCAUCAAUUAAUGUAGUGGAGAGUUCAGGGUGUUGCGAAAGGAAAAUUAAACCUGAACGCGACAUUAGCAGUGAAAGAAGUAUGGCCCCAAUAGUUGAAGCAAUAUCAAUAAAUGUGUCCAUAGUAUCUCCAACUUCUGAACGCAAUACGGGUGAUGACAACAGCGCAGCUGACAAAGGAAGAAAGCCCCUUUCCUUCAGGAGUGCAAGCAAUUGCAAGUCCAUAUCCCAGUUAGAAAAGCAGCAGUUUGAUGAACAAAUCAAGUUACUGGUUGCUUUAUAUGACAAUAAUCCUUCUGUUUGACCAAGGAUCAAUGACCUGCUUGCACAAGCCACUAGAGAAGGAUCUUCAACUGGACCACGGGAACUUAUCAAUUUCAAAAGCCUCUUUAGUUGAGAUUUAGCAUUGUUAAGCAUGUCUGAAGUAACACUUGUAACUCGUCCAACAGCAGAAAGGCCCCCCAAUACAGACAGGACAGCACACUCGUAUCUUGCAGCAACUUCAUAAAAUCGUAACCGAUGAAGAACAUAGGUUGCCAAAGAAGCAACAUCAUGUCGUGGCUUUUGCAAGAACAACCUCAACAAUUGACUAUAGCCUUUGCUAAUACCAGAUGGGAUGUUUUCAUCUUCACGAGGCCACCAACCUAGAAUUCCUUCACAACCAAUUGGAUAACGUGUAGCCUUCUCAAUAACUCCGAGUAACAGUAACAAAGUGGCAGAAGAAUUCUGCAUGCCAUGAGAGAAAGCAUCUGCAAGCUGCCCCAUUCCCCCACCAUUGACGAAGUGAAAGCAGCUUUCUCUAUCAGAGCACAAUAAAAGAGCCAUACUCAGCCCCAGAAUAAUAUUCCUGUUCUGUGAAAGCUGGUGAUGUCCGAAGUUUAUGGAGUUCUUGUUAAAACACCAGUACUGGGUUAAUAUGUCCACCAACUGCUUUGAAGUAGCCAAAUCAGCAUCAGAUUCAAAAGAAGUGCACUCUGCUAACAACUCAGCUGACUCAUCUUCUGAACCUUGUUGAAGCACUUCAAGAAGCUGCUUUCUAGACUCAUUAAUAAUGUGGUGCAACUGAUCACCUUCUUUGGAUCCACCCAUUUCAAAACAUCUCUGUUUGAUUCCUUCGCUAGAUAUAUCAUGAGUAACAUGAGAACAAACUGCUGUCACUAGAGCACCAACAACUUUAUGUAAAGAAUCCUUGAGAUUUGACAACCCCAACAUCUUCAAAAUUAGCUGCAAAAACUGUUUAACCUCGAAAGAUAUAUCUGAAGCAGCAACUGGUAAUGAUAAUACCUUCAAAGAGGUUAGGGAUUCCUCAACUGCCCUAUUAGCUGAACGUAAUGCCAGAGGAAGAUCCUCAAGCUUUCCCUCGGAAGAACUAACAAGAUUAGUUAAAGAACUAUCAUCAAAUUCAAUAUUGAACUGCCCUAAAUCCUCUGCUGUGUUUCCAUAUAUGACCAAACUUAGACUGCGGUAGCUACCCCUUACAACCAGAUGAUUUGUUACAACAGCCUCAACUUCUAGAACAUUUGAUGAAGAAUGAGAAUAGAGGAAUGGCUGGCACAGACGCCUAAAUCUUGUCUCUCCCUCACACUGAACAAAUACCUCCAGAGCAAAUGAAGGAGGUGAGGUGGCCCCAACAAGCGGCACCACUUGGGAGCUCGAUGAAGCGUUCUGUUCGAGGAACUCACAAGCAGUAAUUACAAUUGGCUCAGCAAACAAUACCUCAUCAACGUAUUCAUCUAGUUGGGGAUGAACGAAGGUCUGGGAGAACAAGACGCAGGGCUCGGGUCGACCCAUAGUUAGUGUAUUCGGAUCCUUGUAUUCAAAUCAGGCAAACAGAGAGACAAAGAGGGCGCGCAUUGAAGGUCUUGUGAGACCGAAUUCACAUGGCAUUCUAGGGUUUUAAGGGUAAUUGGAUUUUGGGGGGAGUUCUGUUGGUGACUUUAAAGAGGGGAAGACAUGAGUAUGUUUUGGGCAUACA
RNAcentral lists this unclassified non-coding RNA (8457 nucleotides) under Hevea brasiliensis (rubber tree). Lineage: Eukaryota; Viridiplantae; Streptophyta; Magnoliopsida; Malpighiales; Euphorbiaceae. The record is from RNAcentral.